GCCAGCAGCUAUAUCACCCUGCAGCUCUCAAUUGGUUACCCACUGAAGCUAAGCAGGGCUGAGCCUGGUUAGUACCUGGUUGGAGACCUGGGUAAAGCUAUGGUUGCUGCUGGAA
RNAcentral lists this ribosomal RNA (115 nucleotides) under Lepisosteus oculatus (spotted gar). The record is from RNAcentral. Lineage: Eukaryota; Metazoa; Chordata; Actinopteri; Semionotiformes; Lepisosteidae.